Long non-coding RNA from Zea mays, 1407 nucleotides. RefSeq lists it as uncharacterized. Lineage: Eukaryota; Viridiplantae; Streptophyta; Magnoliopsida; Poales; Poaceae. The transcript is spliced from 2 exons. The record is from RefSeq and is a predicted model, not a curated record.
ACCAGGAACGCCCGUGAAGCGAGCGCUGCUGCCAGCGAUGUCAGAGAAGCGAUGUCGUUGUUUACAAUGAAUUAGCAGAACUGUUUUACCUUAAAAAUAAAUUUGGUCCGUCUGCCAUCGUUACAAGUUACAACGUUAGAUACUUAGAUGAAUGCUUCGUAUAAGUAAAUCGAUUAUUUUGUUGUAUCUACCAACAAUGAUCCUAUUUUCUUCCCCCACUGAAUUAUUAUUUCUUUGACAGUAACUGCUAAAGCAAAACUUCUACUACAUGAUAAAAAAUAUGUUAAAUCAAUUUACCUUUUGCAAAACAGAGACGUGCUUGGCUUGAAGUAUACAAAGAACAGCUCUUGCUAGAAACCAAGCAAAAAACGGGACAGGACUGAAGAAUAUGAUGACUUGAUUUGCAUCGUACCGAAGACAUUGCUGGCCGGAAAUUGAUGAGUCCAUGGAUGAGUCCAUGAUGGACUUGGAGAAUGAGGCAGUGCUACGGAACGACUGCGAGAAGGAAGCCGUGCUGCGGAAUGAAUUCUGCCAAAUUGUAUCAUUAUAGGGGGGUUGUGUAUCAUAAAUUAAAAAUCUUGUGCCAAGGAAGUUAGACCUGCAAAUUGGUCAUACAUGCUACUGUUGCCUAGUAGUUUAUUCCAUUUUUUGCAGCUUAGUUUAUGUUUCAAUUCCAAGUUUAUUUGUUGAUGUAUCUUUGUAACAAUUUUUUUAUAGAGGAAUAAGGAAGCAAAAGGAUAUAGACAUACGGUUAUAAAGUUUUGGGAUCUACUCAGCCUAGUGUACAAUAAAGACCAAGCAAAUGGAGAGGGUGCUAAAACAGCAGCUGAAAGUUCAAAGGAAAUGACAAAAGAGAAUGAUACCGGAGGCAAGGAUGCUCCAUAUUCUGUAUCUUCCUCGAGUAGUUUAAAAAGACAAAGAUCAGAUGAUUCAUUUAACUCUAUAUGGUGUGAUAAGUUCGACAUGCUUACAUCUGCAUUGAAAGAUGACGGUCCAAAGCUACCCUCUUCCGCCGAAUUUCUCGCCGCAUUACAAGAGGUUGAGGGACUUGAUGAAGACACAGAACUUGAGCUUUAGGACAUCCUCACCUCUAAUGCACGCAAGUUUGAGUCGAUGAUAGCACUCCCAAUGGAAAGGAGGAAGAGGUGGCUUAUGAUGCAGCUAAGGAAGUGAAACAACUUAUAUGUGAACUUAGAUCUCUUUGUUGAACUGAUUGUGUGAACUUGUCUUUGUGAAACUUUUGUGUGUGAACUUGAUGGCUAUGUGAAACUGUUGUGUGCGAACUUGAUGGCUCUAUGAAACUACUAUGUGAAGAUUUGAUGUCUUUGUAGAACUUUUAUGUGCGAAUUUGAUGACUUUGUAAAACUGUUAUGUGUGACUUGCCUUUGUGGAAUUGUUAUUUGUGAA